AUUGAACGCUGGCGGCAGGCCUAACACAUGCAAGUCGGGCGAGAGGCGGACGGGUGAGUAAUGUAUGGGGAUCUGCCUGAUGGAGGGGGAUAACUACUGGAAACGGUAGCUACUACCGCAUACCAUCACAUGAACCCAUAUGGGAUUAGCUAGUAGGUAAGGUAACGGCUUACCUAGGCGACGAUCCCUAGCUGGUCUGAGAGGAUGAUCAGCCACACUGGAACUGAGACACGGCCCAGACUCCUACGGGAGGCAGCAGUGGGGAAUAUUGCACAAUGGGCGCAAGCCUGAUGCAGCCAUGCCGCGUGUAUGAAGAAGGCCUUCGGGUUGUAAAGUACUUUAAGUCGGGAGGCGUUACCGACAGAAGAAGCACCGGCUAACUCCGUGCCAGCAGCCGCGGUAAUAC
RNAcentral lists this ribosomal RNA (406 nucleotides) under uncultured bacterium. Its description in RNAcentral is "partial 16S ribosomal RNA". It matches the Rfam family "Bacterial small subunit ribosomal RNA", at positions 30 to 526 of the family's 1533-position model. The record is from RNAcentral.